Molecule: long non-coding RNA, 4595 nt
Organism: Triticum aestivum (bread wheat)
Lineage: Eukaryota; Viridiplantae; Streptophyta; Magnoliopsida; Poales; Poaceae
Exons: 3
Source: RefSeq, a predicted model, not a curated record
GGGAUGCCAGGUCGCCGUCGCCAUCACCUGCGUGCUCUCCUUGUCCGUACGGGUACGGGUAUGGCGCCGCCGCCGGCGGCCGGUGUCCUUCUCCUUCCCCUUCCCAUCCACCACACCCAGCCUCCUCGAUCUGCAACAUCCUGCUCCCCCUGCAUGCACGAGGGAUCUCGGGCCGCCGUCACCCUUCGGGAGCUCCCUCCCCUCCCCGCCUUCUUUCCGUGGCUCUGCAGACGCAAGGGAUCUCGGGUCGCCGUCGCCCUUCGAGAGCUCCCUCUCCUCCACGCCUUCUUUCCAUGGCGCGAGGGACCAAGCGCCAUGUACAGACUUACAUACGUGCUGCUGGCCACUGCCCUGUAACCCCGCCGCCAGCAGGGUCGUCCAUGACCAGGGCCCCCAAGCUAAGGAGUGACAUGCUGCUGCCGUGCCCACCACCAUCUGUGAGACUUGGAAAUCUAGGAAGCUGCAGUACAACAGAAGACUAUCCAAUUGGAGGAUCCACAUCAUUUAUGGGAGCAAGAGAUCCAAAACUGGUAGAUACAUGCACUAAUUCUAUUCAGAUAGGAGAAGGGGCACAAUGUGAGGGAGGCGGUCGCCGGCGGUGGCGGCUCCGGUGACCGGCCAGCAGGCAGGGAGACGAGCUCCUGUUGAGGCGGCGGGGCUCGGUGCGGGCUGGUUCCUCUGGAUCGAGCCUUGGCUCUCCCGAGGUGUGUGGUUGCGGGCGUCUGAUGAGUUGGUUUGGCGCCCCCUUACUCAGAUCUGCACGUCCCUGAUGAUCGGAGGUUUGCCUUUCACAUGUUCAUUGAGUUGCUUGAUGACAUAAAAAAAAUUGAAAUAUGGAGUUAUGCAAUUGCAGCAAUAAGGACGGAUGGCCAGCUUCACAGGUUAAGCUCCGUACUGUAAUUUGCAUUCAGUUAUGUGCAGUAAUAAUGCCAUAUUUGUUAGUAGCCUGCUAGCUGUUUCCAGAUUUUUUAGUCAUGAUUGGCUUCUACACAAAAGGAGUUUGUCGAAAACAAGAGCAAUCCCAUUGUUGCUACACAGCCUGAAGAUUCUUUGCCUUUCUUUGAACUGUUUCAGGUUUUUUCUCUCAUAGUUAUAAUCAAAUAUUCAGAUAGAAUCAUAUGGGUGGUCGUGCCAUGUCCACAGGAGCGACUUACAUCAAGCAUUAGGCCUGGUUUUAAUCUUCUUGGUCACAUAUCAGAUGAGUAUAACAGUGUCCCAUCUUUUUGAUCAUGAGCUACCUUUCCCAGAACAGCCUGUCAUAUACUCAGAUUAGUAGCAGUGAAAUAAUGUAACGAAUAUCACGAGAGUGCUUGCAGUUUGUUAAUAUUCAAAUAAAAGGGAAAGCAACCUUUUCCCAGCUAACAGCAGGAGAAUUCAGCAAUGGAUAGAUAUAUUAAACCGUUAGUCCAACUUCCCUUUGUUAUUGAGUCUCCGUAGAAUGAUACUAUCAUGUAUGGUUCGAACAAAUCAGUAUAAAUGGAUAUCAGCACUCUUAAAGUAGAGGAUAAUUAUUGGAUGUAUACUACAAAAUAAGAGUUGCAUUCUCCAAAGUAUCAAGUCAAUGCUGCAUGGUGGCAACAUUGUGUGGAGAUACACCAUUACAGUUUGGUAGAUAACAUGUUUCGCGAUUGGGUAUUUGUGUAUAGCUGGCAUUGAAUGAGGCUCAAUUGAGGUGCUAAUUUUUUUGUGGGGCAAUCUGAAAUGCUACUGCCGCCAUUGUUUGGCAUUGUGCAUCCCUGACAGAUAAGCGGUGGAUGUUGCCUUUUGGCUUGCAUAAUCCUGAAUCGAUGAGUUCUGUUUUUCUUAUGACUUGGGAUUUCACACAAGCACACAAGGAAGCUUUUGUAGAACUUAUCAUUUGAUUUCGUUAUUCGUGUUCUUUUUAUGUAGGGAUUUAAUUUUCAGCAUUCAUGUUGAAUAGUGAAAUGUACAAGUUGUAUGAGCACUCCUGCUAUAGUUAUUAGGUUAGGGCCAGAUGUUUUUCUCUUCCAUAGACUGCUUUUGCCCGUCCGUCAUACCUUUUUGCAAAAAAAAAAGUCCCUAUAGUUUAUUGAAAUCAACAUGCACUCCAUGUUUUAGUCAUAACCGAACCGUUUUUUGCAUUUUCUCAGAAAAUCCCCUGAAAUUUCAGGUAAUCAACCCGCCGUCCAUAUUUAAGUUAGACGAAUCAUUUUUAAAUCAUCCAUAUCUUUUAAACUGUAACUCCGAUUUUAACAUGUUAUAUAUGAAAUUUGAUUAAAAAAAUGUGUAGAAUCUAAACAUGAUGUUAUUUUUAGCUGUUACAUAUUUUUAAAAUAUUAUUUUGGGUGCAAACUUCAUUUAUCGUGCAGUGUCGGUUAUUCUUUUGCACCGGCGGCGAUCUGAAUUGCAAAUAAAUAUCCAUUAAAACCAGAUUGAGAGGAAAGAAACAUUGAUAACCACGCAUGCACACCUCUGAAAAACCUCUCAGCGAAAAACAAUAUAUUUCUCAUCUUAUUCCGAGCGAGUGCGCGGGCGAGUGCGAGGACUAACAACAUUCAAAUGCGUUCAUUUGUGUGAGCACUGAGGCCAAUAAAGGACAUAGACCUAUUAGGGUCUUGAGAUAUGAUUAUUGGGCUAAGAGCCUCCGUUAUUUUCUCUUCAGUUGCAACGCACGGACUUUUUUGCUAGUAUUACCAAUACACACCACUUGGGCUACAUGUUGUCAACAAGCCAAAAAAUAUGUGUAAUUUUGACCCAAUAAGAAAUAAGGAUAUGGAAAAUGCAACGCCCUAGGAGACAAGAGAAUCUAAAAACUCUGAGCAGCUGCACUUUGCCCCCCACCAACACCCUACCAUUUCCUCUGCAUCAGCCUGUCUUGCCACCACUGUUGUUGAUCCUCGCCAUGGUGGCAGCGACUCCUACUACCUAAGGUGGUAGGAGGCUUUCGAUUUCUCCCGGAGGCGUUGGUGGAUGGCCAGACCGACUGGGGCACCGUCAGCCGUAGGAAGUGGUGGCGCUCCCAUCAUCGGUGUAGCGCCGGUGCAUGUAAGGACACGUCGUAUUAGGGGGGCAUGAACCUAGUCUUGAUGGCAAGGAUGUUUUGAUGAGGUGGUCAAAGUGUUUUGAUUCAUCGAAAACAAAGAAGAACCUUUUGUUUACAAGAAGGUUAGUGAUAUGUAAAUCACACAUUGUUGAUUCAGAAUGACAUUCCAAUGCUUGAAUCUGCCAAGGACUCGCUGAAAAAAAAGUUUUUCUUGAAGGACGUGAGAGAAAUGGUUUAUGUUGGGAACCAAGACCUGCAUAGAUAGAUCGAGGAGGCUAAUUGGAUUAAACUAGAGUACAUAUGUCGACAAGGUUCUGAAGCGGUUCAACAUGCAUAAGGCGAAGAAAGAGUGCUUGCCUAUGUCACAUGGCAUUAGUCUCAGAAAGACUCGGACUCCCGCAACUUUUGACGAGCGAAGUCACAUGGAUGCGAUUUUGUAUGCUUCAGUUGUCGGGUCCGUCAUGUAUGUUAUGUUAUAUACAAGACAAAAUAUUUCUUAUAGUCUAAGUAUUAUAAGCAAAUAUCAGGCUGAUCCAGGUGAGUGUCAUUGGAUGACAGAUAAAAAUAUUCUUACGUAUUUGAGCAGGACUACGGAUAAGUUGUUGGUUUAUGAUGGUGAGGGAGGGCUCGUUGGAAAGGAUUAAACCGAUACUAGUUUUCAAACCAAUAAUGAUGACUAUCGCUCGCAAUCUGGAUUUACGUUCAUUCUGAACAGAUGUGAUGUGAGCUGCAAAAGUUUCAAGCAAAAAAUUUUGAUUCUACAAUUGAGUCUGAGUACAUAGUCGCCUCUAAAGGUGCGAAAUAAGGUGUUUGGAUGUGGAAAUUCAUUUCUAAACAUGGUGUGGUUCAAGGCACAUCCAACCCGUUUGACCUCUAUUGUGACAAAAGUGGUGUGAUCUCACAAGCCAAGGAACCAAGACAACCUAUAAAUCCAGACAUAUACUCAGGCGAUAUCAUCUAAUACGAGAGAUCUUUGAGAGAGGCGAUGUAAGGAUAUGCAAAGAAUACGGGGGCUAUAAUAGUGUUGAUCCUCUGACGACGCCUCUCCUGCAGCUGAAGCAUGAGGCACACAUAAGGGCCAUGGGCUUGAAAUGCCUAAAUGACUCUAUUGCAAGUGGGGGACUGCUGAAAAUAUGCCCUAGAGGCAAUCAUUUGAUGAUGGUACUUCCUAUGUAAUCAUAAGUUAUAUAUACUAUCCUUGAACAUCAUCACUAAUAUGUAUCAAGAGGUAUCUUACUUGUUUGUGAGAGUAUGGAUUAUAUGAUGAUUGUUCUAAUUGUCACUGGUUGAUAAGUUCAAGUGAACACAUAAUAAAAAAAAUCCAACAAUUAGUUAAAAUUAUAAAAGGGAAGUGUUAUUUGUUCUUGAAGAUAGAAAAGUAAACACAUACAUUGUAUGUAUGUGUCUUUUUCCCAAACAAUAAACUUGGUUUCAAGUCCUCGCGGGUGCUUAUUUUGCUAAAAAAAUAUGUUGUACGGACUUACCCUAGCGUGUCCCUUAAAAAAUCAUAUAAUAUGUGUUGUUUUGUAUUAGUAGAUGAAGACCAAAAAGUGUAGGGUAACGUAGCAGAAAACAAAAAUUUCUGACUUAC